Arabidopsis lyrata subsp. lyrata is the source of this 1048-nucleotide long non-coding RNA. RefSeq lists it as uncharacterized. The transcript has 3 exons. NCBI's taxonomy places the organism in Eukaryota, Viridiplantae, Streptophyta, Magnoliopsida, Brassicales, Brassicaceae. The record is from RefSeq and is a predicted model, not a curated record.
GGAAGGACCCUCGAGAGCCGAGUAGUCUCUGGGGACAAAGUAGUUCCCUUUCUCAAUAACUACCACCCUAAGGCCCGACUUUGCUAGGAUUGCAGCUGCAACUCCUCCGCCACAACCAGAACCCACUACCACUGCAUCACACUCGAUCUUAAAUAUGCAGAGGAAGAUGGAAGACUUACCCAUGUGAAGUAGUAGAACAAGAAGAUGGCUUUGAUCAUCAUAAAACCGAUUCUGGCAAGUGGGUUAUACCACUGUGUGUUCCAUCUCUGUAGAACCUUUUCCCUCUUCUCCAGGGACAUUUCAGAGAAUUUGAGAAGGAAAGGCCAAUUCUUCAUAUCAAGACAGACUAACCCGCAAAGCAGUAACGUCCCCAGUCUGAAUAGAAAGACAGAAAGUUGGAGAUAAACAACCUCAUCUGGUCGAACAUGAGACUCAGAAGUAGAAGAUUUGAAGAAAGAUAAGAGUGCAUCGUUGCGUAAAACCUUCAACUUCAUCUCAAGAUUUAAACUCUCUAAUGGAACAGGGGGCAUAAUAGCGUCGCAAAUGGCAGAGAGAGCUUGGAGGUCAGAUUGUGAGAAUCCAUGGCUGAAGCUUUCUUGUUUCGCACUCCAUCUCAACCAAGGGCUUCCUCUCUUCCCUAAUCUUCUUCUUCCUCCUACCAUCUCUCUCAGCUUUCAUAUCCCCUCUCUCUCUCUCUCUCUCUCUUCUUUACUCUUUCCGCUUUCUUCUUUACUCAAACAUAUAUAUAGACAGACAUGCGAAGCGCUUAGGGUUUGAAAGUGUAAGGCGGUUCCUUAAGUACUGUUGGGUAAUCUGAAAGAAGGAACAAAACAAACCUUGAAAGAGAUUGUUUAUUUUUUGAGUUUUGAGAUUAUGUUUGUUUGUGUCUGUAAAAAGAGACCACGUACGGAUGGAUACGAGUAAUAUCACGUGUGAUGUAUACGAAUACGUAAAUGUGUCUUCAGUCAGGUGUGAGAUACAUCAGGAGUCCACGUGACAAACGCUGCAUUGUACUGUUGUACAUUAUAUGUUACAUGUGUAUUUUUGA